GCAGUGUACCCGCGGCAAGACGGAAAGACCCCGUGAACCUUUACUAUAGCUUGACACUGAACAUUGAGCCUUGAUGUGUAGGAUAGGUGGGAGGCUUUGAAGUGUGGACGCCAGUCUGCAUGGAGCCGACCUUGAAAUACCACCCUUUAAUGUUUGAUGUUCUAACGUGGACCCGUUACCCGGGUUGCGGACAGUGUCUGGUGGGUAGUUUGACUGGGGCGGUCUCCUCCUAAAGAGUAACGGAGGAGCACGAAGGUUGGCUAAUCCUGGUCGGACAUCAGGAGGUUAGUGCAAUGGCAUAAGCCAGCUUGACUGCGAGCGUGACGGCGCGAGCAGGUGCGAAAGCAGGUCAUAGUGAUCCGGUGGUUCUGAAUGGAAGGGCCAUCGCUCAACGGAUAAAAGGUACUCCGGGGAUAACAGGCUGAUACCGCCCAAGAGUUCAUAUCGACGGCGGUGUUUGGCACCUCGAUGUCGGCUCAUCACAUCCUGGGGCUGAAGUAGGUCCCAAGGGUAUGGCUGUUCGCCAUUUAAAGUGGUACGCGAGCUGGGUUUAGAACGUCGUGAGACAGUUCGGUCCCUAUCUGCCGUGGGCGCUGGAGAACUGAGGGGGGCUGCUCCUAGUACGAGAGGACCGGAGUGGACGCAUCACUGGUGUUCGGGUUGUCAUGCCAAUGGCACUGCCCGGUAGCUAAAUGCGGAAGAGAUAAGUGCUGAAAGCAUCUAAGCACGAAACUUGCCCCGAGAUGAGUUCUCCCUGAGACUUAGAGUCUCCUGAAGGAACGUUGAAGACGACGACGUUGAUAGGCCGGGUGUGUAAGCGCAGCGAUGCGUUGAGCUAACCGGUACUAAUGAACCGUGAGGCUUAACCUUACA
Molecule: ribosomal RNA, 873 nt
Filed under: Salmonella enterica
Lineage: Bacteria; Pseudomonadati; Pseudomonadota; Gammaproteobacteria; Enterobacterales; Enterobacteriaceae
Also listed under: 1 other name
Description: partial 23S ribosomal RNA
Rfam family: Bacterial large subunit ribosomal RNA
Source: RNAcentral